RNAcentral lists this ribosomal RNA (254 nucleotides) under uncultured bacterium. RNAcentral's name for it is "partial 16S ribosomal RNA". It matches the Rfam family "Bacterial small subunit ribosomal RNA", at positions 524 to 776 of the family's 1533-position model. The record is from RNAcentral.
CACGUAGGGCGCAAGCGUUGUCCGGAAUUAUUGGGCGUAAAGAGCUCGUAGGCGGUUCGCUAAGUCGGGUGUGAAACCUCCAGGCUCAACCUGGAGACGCCACCUGAUACUGGUGUGACUCGAGUCCGGUAGGGGAGCGUGGAAUUCCUGGUGUAGCGGUGAAAUGCGCAGAUAUCAGGAGGAACACCAGCGGCGAAGGCGGCGCUCUGGGCCGGAACUGACGCUGAGGAGCGAAAGCGUGGGUAGCAAACAGG